ACGGCGAGUGAAGCGGGAAGAGCUCAAAUUUGAAAUCUGGCGGCAUCCUGUCGUCCGAGUUGUAAUCUAUAGAAGUGUUUUCCGCGGCGGACCAUGUACAAGUCCCUUGGAACAGGGCGUCAUAGAGGGUGAGAAUCCCGUCCUUGACAUGAUCUCCGGUUGCUAUGUGAUACACUUUCAACGAGUCGAGUUGUUUGGGAAUGCAGCUCAAAAUGGGUGGUGAAUUCCAUCUAAAGCUAAAUAUUGGCGAGAGACCGAUAGCGAACAAGUACCGUGAGGGAAAGAUGAAAAGCACUUUGGAAAGAGAGUUAAACAGUACGUGAAAUUGUUGAAAGGGAAACGAUUGAAGUCAGUCAUGCUCUUUGGGUUAAGCCGUUCGCGGUGUAUUCCAUUGAGUGGGGUCAACAUCAGUUUUGACCGCUGGAAAAAGGCACGAGGAAGGUAGCACUCUCGGGUGAACUUAUAGCCUCGCGUCAUAUACAGUGGUUGGGACUGAGGAACGCAGCAUGCCUUAUGGCCGGGAUUCGUCCACGUACAUGCUUAGGAUGUUGACAUAAUGG
RNAcentral lists this ribosomal RNA (560 nucleotides) under Naganishia bhutanensis. Its description in RNAcentral is "eukaryotic LSU rRNA". It matches the Rfam family "Eukaryotic large subunit ribosomal RNA", at positions 86 to 637 of the family's 3401-position model. The record is from RNAcentral. Lineage: Eukaryota; Fungi; Basidiomycota; Tremellomycetes; Filobasidiales; Filobasidiaceae.